GGUUCAUUCAAAUUUCUGCCCUAUCAACUUUCGACGGCUGGGUCUUGGCCAGCCGUGGUGACAACGGGUAACGGAGGGUAGGGCUCGACCCGGAGAAGGAGCCUGAGAAACGGCUACUACAUCCAAGGAAGGCAGCAGGCGCGCAAAUUACCCAAUCCCGACCGGGGAGGGUGUGACAAUAAAUACUGAUACAGGGCUCUUUCGGGUCUUGUAAUUGGAAUGAGUACAAUUUAAAUCCCUUAACGAGGAACAAUUGGAGGGCAAGUCUGGUGCCAGCAGCCGCGGUAAUUCCAGCUCCAAUAGCGUAUAUUAAAGUUGUUGGAGGUAAAAAGCUCGUAGUUG
RNAcentral lists this ribosomal RNA (342 nucleotides) under uncultured fungus. Its description in RNAcentral is "SSU rRNA". It matches the Rfam family "Eukaryotic small subunit ribosomal RNA", at positions 292 to 636 of the family's 1831-position model. The record is from RNAcentral. Lineage: Eukaryota; Fungi.